CCUUCAUCCACCUGGGCUUGACCUUCAUCAUCAUCGUCAUGGUGAUGGCGGCCUUCAUCCACCCGCGGUUGACCUUCAUCAUCGUCAUGGUGACGGUGGCCUUCAUCCACCUGCGGUUGACCUUCAUCAUCGUCAUGGUGAUGGUGGCCUUCAUCCACCUGCGGUUGACCUUCAUCAUCGUCGUCAUGGUGAUGGUGGCCUUCAUCCACCUGGGCUUGACCUUCAUCAUCAUCGUCAUGGCGAUGGCGGCCUUCAUCCACCCUUGGUUGACCUUCAUCAUCGUUGUCAUGGCGACGGUGGCCUUCAUCCACCCGCAGUUGACCUUCGUCAUCGUCAUCCUCCCCGUCGCCGUGGUGACGAUGAUGAUGGUGGUGGUGACCGGGGGAGCCUUCGUCGCUCUGGUGAUGAUGAUGAUGAUGAUGAAGGUCACUGGGGGAGCCUUCAUCCCUCUGGUGAUGAAGAUGAUGGAGGUGACCAGGGGAGCCUUCCUCCCUCUGGUGAUGAAGGUGAGGAAGCUCCGGGGGCUCCCCCCAGGCCGCCCCCGCCCGGAGGAGCAGCAGCAGCAGCAGCACGGCCGGAGCCAUGAGUGA
Molecule: long non-coding RNA, 590 nt
Filed under: Lonchura striata (white-rumped munia)
Lineage: Eukaryota; Metazoa; Chordata; Aves; Passeriformes; Estrildidae
Description: domestica (Bengalese finch) lncRNA (ENSLSDG00000003048.1)
Source: RNAcentral